This 792-nucleotide long non-coding RNA is filed under the name Homo sapiens (human). RNAcentral's name for it is "HSALNT0221031". Lineage: Eukaryota; Metazoa; Chordata; Mammalia; Primates; Hominidae. The record is from RNAcentral.
AGGAGAUUGAGACAUUUAAUGUUAAAAAGAUCCUCUCUCUUCUAGGGCACGAGUAAAGAUAUCAACCCAUCUAUCUGUAGAAAAUUGCCAGAAACUGUCACAAAAUAAAAAAUGAGAGAAGGCCUGAAUUACGACAGUCCUGGUGGGGUUCUACAAGGCAGCAUGAGGGAGAGGAGAGAGGACUAUUUUACCAAGAUUUUAAGACUUUCAAACAACCAGGGAAGGCUUCUGUGGACAGGCUGUCUCUGCACUAGGACUAAAGAACCAGAACUGUUCAGAAAGAGAGAAGAGCCCAGCACCUUAUACUCAGGAGAUACUGAAAAACAUCAUAUAAGGUGUUUACUGUUGAGAGAAAAGUACACAUCAGAGGAUGCCCAUUAUUGAUAUAGAGCCUUCUCUGUAUCUGGAUGAACGUGACCAGGAAGCCACCCUCAGCCUGCUGCAGCUGUUUUCAGAAUCUGUGGGAUCACACCCCAGAGGCAGUUGGGUCAGCCGCAGGCAUCAGGUGAGGAGGAGGAAGAGUGAGACAGCUAUUACAGGCUGCCGGACCAGGUGGCUGUGAAGAGGUGUGGGGACACCAAGGCUUAUAUAAGGAGGAUGGAGAACACAGGCCAAAGGGGAGGCUGUAAUGCUGACUUCGAUUGGCUAACUUAAUAUAAGGCAGACUGAGGGAGGAGGAGGAGGGCAGGAGAGAACACGCUUUAGAAAGCAUGACGGUGUCUCAUUCUGUUUGCAAGUGAGCACGUAGGUGCCUUCCAAAUAUGAUCCUGAAGAAGGUGCAGAUAAAUGAAA